AGUCGACGGUACAGGAAGCAGCUUGCUGUUUUGCUGACGAGUGGCGGACGGGUGAGUAAUGUCUGGGAAACUGCCUGAUGGAGGGGGAUAACUACUGGAAACGGUAGCUAAUACCGCAUAACGUCGCAAGACCAAAGAGGGGGACCUUAGGGCCUCUUGCCAUCGGAUGUGCCCAGAUGGGAUUAGCUAGUAGGUGGGGUAACGGCUCACCUAGGCGACGAUCCCUAGCUGGUCUGAGAGGAUGACCAGCCACACUGGAACUGAGACACGGUCCAGACUCCUACGGGAGGCAGCAGUGGGGAAUAUUGCACAAUGGGCGCAAGCCUGAUGCAGCCAUGCCGCGUGUAUGAAGAAGGCCUUCGGGUUGUAAAGUACUUUCAGCGGGGAGGAAGGGAGUAAAGUUAAUACCUUUGCUCAUUGACGUUACCCGCAGAAGAAGCACCGGCUAACUCCGUGCCAGCAGCCGCGGUAAUACGGAGGGUGCAAGCGUUAAUCGGAAUUACUGGGCGUAAAGCGCACGCAGGCGGUUUGUUAAGUCAGAUGUGAAAUCCCCGGGCUCAACCUGGGAACUGCAUCUGAUACUGGCAAGCUUGAGUCUCGUAGAGGGGGGUAGAAUUCCAGGUGUAGCGGUGAAAUGCGUAGAGAUCUGGAGGAAUACCGGUGGCGAAGGCGGCCCCCUGGACGAAGACUGACGCUC
Molecule: ribosomal RNA, 697 nt
Filed under: uncultured bacterium
Lineage: Bacteria
Description: bacterial SSU rRNA
Rfam family: Bacterial small subunit ribosomal RNA
Source: RNAcentral